RNAcentral lists this ribosomal RNA (407 nucleotides) under uncultured bacterium. RNAcentral's name for it is "bacterial SSU rRNA". It matches the Rfam family "Bacterial small subunit ribosomal RNA", at positions 32 to 418 of the family's 1533-position model. The record is from RNAcentral.
AAUCAACGCUGGCGGCGUGCCUCAGACAUGCAAGUCGAACGCGAAAGGCUCCUUCGGGGGCCGAGUAGAGUGGCGCACGGGUGAGUAACACGUAGGUAAUUUGCCUUUGGGUGGGGAAUAACUCAGGGAAACUUGAGCUAAUACCGCAUAAUGCAGCGGCUCGACAUCGAGACAGUUGUUAAAGCGGGGGAUCGCAAGACCUCGCGCCUGAAGAGAAGCCUGCGGCAGAUUAGCUAGUUGGUAGGGUAAUGGCCUACCAAGGCGACGAUCUGUAACCGGCCUGAGAGGGCGGUCGGUCACACUGACACUGACAUACGGGUCAGACUCCUACGGGAGGCAGCAGUCGGGAAUUUUGGGCAAUGGGCGCAAGCCUGACCCAGCAACGCCGCGUGAAGGAUGAAAUCCCU